Ictalurus punctatus (channel catfish) is the source of this 649-nucleotide long non-coding RNA. RefSeq lists it as uncharacterized. NCBI's taxonomy places the organism in Eukaryota, Metazoa, Chordata, Actinopteri, Siluriformes, Ictaluridae. The transcript is spliced from 2 exons. The record is from RefSeq and is a predicted model, not a curated record.
GCAGCCAUGUUGAUUUGACGUCACUUCCUGAACUCAGAGUCGAGAAGACCAUCCCAAGUUUCUGAGGAGGAAUUCUCGAGUUGAGGGUUUCUUUCUUCUAAGGCUGCAGUAGCUCACACGUGAAAGAAGCUUUGAGACACUUGUUUAGCUCUGAGAUGUCGAGGCAUGGACUCCAGAAGACCUCUGAAGGUGUGCUGUGGGAUCUGGCACCAAGAUGUUCGCAGCAGAUCCUUUACAUCCUGUAAGUUGUGAGGCGGGGCCUCCGUGGAUCGGACUCGUUUGUCCAGAACGUCUCACAGACGCUCGAUCGGAUUGAGAUCUGGGGAAUUCGGAGGCCGAGUCAACACCUUGGGUGCUUCUCAUGUUUUAUUUGUCCAUCCUCAUUUCCUUUCCUUGCAUCUUAGCUCCACCCCCUUAGGAUGUGAGAGAAGGACACGAGGAUGAGAUGCGAGGAGAAAGGAACCGAAUAUCCUCGCUGUCUCAAGCGUCACUUCAAAGCGACAUCAGUGAAUGCUGACCGUGCUCAGCUGGAUGACCUCCCUGCGCUUCAGCGAUCUACCGUUACGCUUGUUUUUGUUUUUGUUUUUUGAUGUGCUGUUCUUGGAGUUCGGUUAAUAACAACAUUCUUAAUAAAGCAAAAUGUACUGAU